RNAcentral lists this unclassified non-coding RNA (138 nucleotides) under uncultured fungus. RNAcentral's name for it is "sequence contains ITS1". The record is from RNAcentral. Lineage: Eukaryota; Fungi.
GAAAAAAGGGAAGUGGGUCGGGCGUCGCCCGCACAUCAUUCUCCCGACCAAACGUAUUCACCCCAAGUUCCUGAAAAUUUUAAUAAAAAACUCGUAAAAAGACCAUCGGUUACAAAACGAUGGCGCUAAUAUAAGCGA